RNAcentral lists this ribosomal RNA (449 nucleotides) under uncultured bacterium. RNAcentral describes it as "partial 16S ribosomal RNA". It matches the Rfam family "Bacterial small subunit ribosomal RNA", at positions 29 to 523 of the family's 1533-position model. The record is from RNAcentral.
AACGAACGCUGGCGGCAUGCCUAACACAUGCAAGUCGAACGAGAUCUUCGGGUCUAGUGGCGCACGGGUGCGUAACGCGUGGGAAUCUGCCCUUUGGUUCGGAAUAACAGUUGGAAACGACUGCUAAUACCAGAUGAUGACGAAAGUCCAAAGAUUUAUCGCCAGAGGAUGAGCCCGCGUAGGAUUAGCUAGUUGGUGUGGUAAAGGCGCACCAAGGCGACGAUCCUUAGCUGGUCUGAGAGGAUGAUCGGCCACACUGGGACUGAGACACGGCCCAGACUCCUACGGGAGGCAGCAGUGGGGAAUAUUGGACAAUGGGCGAAAGCCUGAGCCAGCAAUGCCGCGUGAGUGAUGAAGGCCUUAGGGUUGUAAAGCUCUUUUACCCGGGAUGAUAAUGACAGUACCGGGAGAAUAAGCUCCGGCUAACUCCGUGCCAGCCGCCGCGGUAA